GGCAGUUGUCUGAGGUUCGUCAGUAGAAUGUGAGGGGAGCCACACAGAUACCGCACAGACUAUUCCAAGACUGGUUUACGUUGAGAGCUGUUGCUCUACUUUAGUGCGGCAGAAAAAUGAGGUUGCAACAAUUCCUUUUUGCGUUUCUGCUUUUCGCGAUGAGUCUUCUUCUUAUCAACGGACAGAGACCAGCUCAUUUGGCAAUGAGAAGAAAAUCGCACAGACACAACUGCCUUCAGAGGAGAUGUGUGCCUCUCCAUUCACGGGUGCCUUUCCCCUGAGUGUUCAUGGUGCGCGGCUCUUCAUCACGCCGCUUUGAAGAAUGAAGAGGUGGACCAGAUGGACUGUGAACUGUGGUCCAGAAGCAGAUGAUACUCCUGACCUGUCUUCAGAAAGUCAAUAGUAGCCUAACAUCAUAUCACAGUGCCUAAGUUAUUCCCCUCACUUCAUCACUUCAUUUCAUCAAGUAGACAUUGUAUCAUCUCACAUUACCACAGGAAAGGACCUUCUCUAGAUAACUGCACCUGGUCUGCCAGAAGAGAAGUGAAGGAAAGAUACCCACCCACACCAUAGUGUGAUUGCUUACAAGUUCUUGUAUGAAAAGGAAUCAUUUGAAAGCACCUGGGAUGGUUUAUUAGUUUUACAGGAUUCUCUUCUUCCUGGUUUCUCUUUAGAGGGAAAAAUAACAUAAAUUCAAAAGCAAUUCCAGUCUGAAGCACAAUUAUUUGCUUGCAUAACAAAAAUCUCUAAUCUUUUUCUGCACAUUACUAUUCUUAGAGGAGUUAAAAAGAAAAAUACUUUUUAAUGUGUUAGAACUCUCUAAUAAUAAAAAGUACAAGAAUUAAAAUUUUUCUUUCAUAGUUCUAUAAUUCUCCAAAAGUAUUAAAAUAAGUAUUUAUAUGUUUGAGUGAUUUUUUUUUCCAAAAAUGCUAAAUCUAAUCAAAUGCUUUGACCAUUUGGCUUUACAGAAUAGGGGUACAUUAAUUGGUUCAUUGAUUAUUUAUAUGGAGAGACUAAGAAAGAAGCUAUUAAUUGCUACCAAUUUUAUAUUAUAGGCUUUAAUGUGUAUGAAAAUAUUUUUUUAUUUUGAAAAAUAUCCAUAAAGUCAUAAAAGAAAGUUUGAAAUACUAAGAUGUUCGUUUCUGAAUCUAUCUCUCAUCAUGUAAUUAUAGGAAGCCAAUGUUUUAUUUCCUUCCCAACAUUAGGUCUUCCCAAGUUGUUAAGUUCACUCUUAAUUUGUAUUUAUUAAAAGACAGAUAGCUCAUUGCCAUAAAGUUACUAUUUUACCGUAGGUUAAUUCCAGGUAUGAAAUUUACAAAUUCUUUUCUUGAUUAGAAAUUUUGCUUUGUAAACAUUAUAGAGUGGAAGAAACCGUAAACCGUUAACCCUUAUUUUGAUAAAAUAAAAGGUUGGGAUUGGUAUACUACAAAGAAUUUGAGGUAGAAAUUCUGAAAUCACAGAGUUUGUCUCCCUUUCAUAGUUUAUUAAUGGUGUCUUUUGGGAUGGAAAGUGUUUCUAUAAAGCACUGUAAUUAACUUUAAAUACAAAAGAUGUUUUAUGAAAUGUGGUAACCUCAUUUAAAUUGGGUACUUUGGGGAUAUUUAAAUAAUUUUCUGGACAAAUUAUUCCUUUACACAAGUGCAUUUCAGUAGAAACAGAAGCUAUUAUUAGUUAGAUUUGUAAUUAAAACAUGUACUUGUUUAUAUAUUUUGUACCAAAAAAAGAAAAACAAUAUACAGUUCAGAUACAUCUCAUUGAAUACAAGCCGACACUUUUUCAGACUCACAUUCACAAAGUUAAAAACCAGCCAUACCAUUGUAAGGUAAUUAAAUGGUUGUAGAUUUCCACUUAUACAACUGCAAUAAGUUUU
RNA transcript from Zalophus californianus (California sea lion), 1870 nucleotides. It is a transcript of the gene named apelin receptor early endogenous ligand, with no coding region annotated. The record is from RefSeq and is a predicted model, not a curated record. The transcript has 5 exons. NCBI's taxonomy places the organism in Eukaryota, Metazoa, Chordata, Mammalia, Carnivora, Otariidae.